Molecule: ribosomal RNA, 143 nt
Filed under: uncultured eukaryote
Lineage: Eukaryota
Description: partial 18S ribosomal RNA
Rfam family: Eukaryotic small subunit ribosomal RNA
Source: RNAcentral
UGGUGGAGCGAUUUGUCUGGUCAAUUCCGAUAGCGAACGAGACUCUAGCCUACUAAAUAGUUCGGGGACCCCCACAAAGGGGCCCCGCUUCAACUUCUUAGAGGGACAGGUGGCGUUUAGCCACACGAGAUUGAGCAAUAACA